GAUGAACGCUGGCGGCGUGCCUAAUACAUGCAAGUCGAGCGAAUGGAUUAAGAGCUUGCUCUUAUGAAGUUAGCUGCGGACGGGUGAGUAACACGUGGGUAACCUGCCCAUAAGCCUGGGAUAACUCCGGGAAACCGGGGCUAAUACCGGAUAACAUUUUGAACCGCAUGGUUCGAAAUUGAAAGGCGUCUUCGGCUGUCACUUAUGGAUGGCCCCGCGUCGCAGUAGCUAGUUGGUGAGUUAACGGCUCACCAAGGCAACGAUGCGUAGCCGACCUGAGAGGGUGAUCGGCCACACUGGGACUGAGACACGGCCCAGACGCCUACGGGAGGCAGCAGUAGGGAAUCUUCCGCAAUGGACGAAAGUCUGACGGAGCAACGCCGCGUGAGUGAUGAAGGCUUUCGGGUCGUAAAACUCUGUUGUUAGGGAAGAACAAGUGCUAGUUGGAUAAGCUGACACCUUGACGGUACCUAACCAGAAAGCCACGGCUAACUACGUGCCAGCCGCCGCGGUAA
Molecule: ribosomal RNA, 515 nt
Filed under: uncultured bacterium
Lineage: Bacteria
Description: partial 16S ribosomal RNA
Rfam family: Bacterial small subunit ribosomal RNA
Source: RNAcentral